RNAcentral lists this ribosomal RNA (800 nucleotides) under Klebsiella pneumoniae. Its description in RNAcentral is "partial 16S ribosomal RNA". The record is from RNAcentral. Lineage: Bacteria; Pseudomonadati; Pseudomonadota; Gammaproteobacteria; Enterobacterales; Enterobacteriaceae.
GACCGUCCGAUCUCAGAACAUCUCCCCCCAUCUUAAGGUCCACAUCGCCACUUUACGCAUCUCUAGACCUCCUUAUGGCCACCGCUUCCGCCGGGGGACCUGUUUCUGACUGCGAGUCCACGCUUUCGCACCCCUCGUUUGUCCUAAUCUAUGGGACCAUCAGGUGCGGCAUUUGCUACAGCUGAACCUCCAACACGGGAACUCCGCACCGAAGGCCUCGAUUGCGCAAUUCAGCUGGCGGACCCCUCAUGCCGGCGUUCCAAUUUUGAGUUUACUUAACUGCCCCCGGGCGUGUUCGCCACCUCGUACACCAAAUUAAGCUACGUUGCGCUUCUUGGAAUGGAUGAGAACUGUAGGUCUCUUGAAUCGUCUCUACGAAACCACGGAAGCCCUUGAGACUCUGUCCACGACGUACCGACAGCAGUCGAGCACAACACUUUACAACCCAAUUCAGGGCGUUGCUCGCGUUGGGAAUAGGAAACAACGGUCGCCAAGCCGGCCCUUGAGUUUCCUCUGACGGUCACUAUUUGACCUCCUUCCACCCCUACUGCAGUUCAGUAGUACCGGGAAUGCUCAUCCCGAUGUGUGCACGAUGUUACCGCGUAUGUUUCUCUUCGCUGGAGCGCUCUCGUUCGCCUGGAGUAUUUCACGCAGCAUCAGGCCUAACCUCAGACGUUGAGCUGAGGUACUUCAGCCUUAGCGAUCAUUAGCAUCUAGUCUUACGAUGCCACUUAUGCAAGGGCCCGGAACAUGUGUGGCGGGCAGUGUGGUACCCUCACCCAACGUUUUCUUCAUCCAUC